AUAAUAAUAAUAAUAAUAAUCAGACCAUGGCCAGGUCUAUUUUAAAUGUUUGAAUGAUGACUAUAUGGAUGUUUGAGUGAUGACUUUAUGGACUUGCAAAGGUCGUAUGUAAGACGAGGUUCUUUUUUCAUAUAUUUUGAGCUCAUGAAUUCAAAUUUAAUGAUGUUACUAAAUAUCAACCCUGCUGGAGAAACUCGAUGAGAGCUGCUGGAUUCUUCUUCUGAUCUAACCCAUAUGAAAUUCUGCUUGAAAGAUGAAUUUUGUGGGCCUCCAUGAGAUAACCUGAUAACUGACACCACUAAUGCCUGUGCCACUUGGUUGGUGAGUACAAUAAUAUCCGUCUGUCUACUUAUAUUGUGACAGUUGUAAACGUAAUGACACCAAAACAAAAAGAAUUACUUGAUCAAAUGAGGAGAGUUAAAGUUGAUGUUCCUGGAAUAGUGAAUCCAGAUGGUUAGUACGUGCUUUGGUAUUUCACUUGCAGAAACCAAAUGUGACAGAUUAGACAAAUUGGCAUCAAGGAUUACAAGUUUUGGUGGAAAAUAUUGUUCAAGGGAAUGCAGCUUGCACACUUUCUUAGGCAAAUUGAAAUUGGUUCUAAAUAUAUGUAAAGUGAACUGUCAUUCCUUAUUAUGUAAUCUGUCUGGCAGGACCACACUGGUCAGGAGUUGGCGUUGAGGUCAUGAUUAGCUAUUCUUGUUUAUGUGAAUUGACUUGCUUGUACAUGAUUUUGUCACCUUACAGCUUCUGUUAUAGUCUGAG
This 762-nucleotide unclassified non-coding RNA is filed under the name Hevea brasiliensis (rubber tree). Lineage: Eukaryota; Viridiplantae; Streptophyta; Magnoliopsida; Malpighiales; Euphorbiaceae. The record is from RNAcentral.